RNAcentral lists this ribosomal RNA (444 nucleotides) under uncultured bacterium. Its description in RNAcentral is "partial 16S ribosomal RNA". It matches the Rfam family "Bacterial small subunit ribosomal RNA", at positions 354 to 796 of the family's 1533-position model. The record is from RNAcentral.
GUAGGGAAUAUUGGGCAAUGGUCGGAAGACUGACCCAGCCAUGCCGCGUGCAGGAAGACGGCCCUCUGGGUUGUAAACUGCUUUUAUCUGGGAAGAAAAAGGCCAUGCGUGGCAAAUUGCCGGUACCAGAUGAAUAAGCACCGACUAACUCCGUGCCAGCAGCCGCGGUAAUACGGAGGGUGCGAGCGUUGUCCGGAUUUAUUGGGUUUAAAGGGUGCGUAGGCGGCUGAUUAAGUCAGCGGUGAAAGACUUCGGCUUAACCGGAGCAGUGCCGUUGAUACUGGUUGGCUUGAGUGUCGGAGGGGUACAUGGAAUUGAUGGUGUAGCGGUGAAAUGCAUAGAUACCAUCAGGAACACCGAUAGCGAAGGCAUUGUACUGGCCGACAACUGACGCUGAUGCACGAAAGUGUGGGGAUCGAACAGGAUUAGAUACCCGGGUAGUCC